This 425-nucleotide unclassified non-coding RNA is filed under the name soil metagenome. RNAcentral's name for it is "partial contains 5.8S ribosomal RNA, internal transcribed spacer 2, and large subunit ribosomal RNA". The stretch from base 1 to 120 matches the Rfam family "5.8S ribosomal RNA", at positions 35 to 154 of the family's 154-position model. The record is from RNAcentral.
GAUGAAGAACGUAGCGAAAUGCGAUAAGUAGUGUGAAUUGCAGAAUUCCGUGAAUCAUCGAAUCUUUGAACGCACAUUGCGCCUUCUGGUAUUCCGGAAGGCAUGCCUGUUCGAGAGUCAUUAACAACCGUUUCGAUCCCUUUCUUUCAGAAAUUACAAAGAGGAAAAGGGUUUGGUUAUGGUGGAGGAGGGAAAGGGAGCGUUUAGCCUGUAAAAAAAGAGGCUGUGUUCCGCCUCCCCCCCAAAAUUGUACAGGCGGUCGUGUGCGCCCACGCAUCGAGGUGUUGUAAAAGCUGCCACGGCACUUUUCACCUGUGCAGUGCGAGAUUGGCCAGCCGGUUUAAAAACCCCUCCAAACAAUCAAAGGUUGACCUCGGGUCAGGUAGGGAUACCCGCUGAACUUAAGCAUAUCAAUAAGCGGAGGA